RNAcentral lists this ribosomal RNA (480 nucleotides) under Acanthomenexenus polyacanthus. Its description in RNAcentral is "partial large subunit ribosomal RNA". It matches the Rfam family "Bacterial large subunit ribosomal RNA", at positions 1920 to 2612 of the family's 2925-position model. Lineage: Eukaryota; Metazoa; Arthropoda; Insecta; Phasmatodea; Lonchodidae. The record is from RNAcentral.
UAAUUUAAUGGCCGCGGUAUUUUGACUGUGCAAAGGUAGCAUAAUCAUUAGCUUAUUAAUUGUGAGCUUGUAUGAAUGGUUAAACGAAACAUUUUCUGUCUUUUAUUUAUUUAUUGAAAUUAAAUAUUUAGUUAAAAUGCUUAAAUUUUUUUAUUGGACGAGAAGACCCUAUAGAUCUUUAUUAAUUUUAUUUUCUUAUAUUUUAGAUUAAAUUUUUAUUUAUUUGAUUUUAAUUUUGUUGGGGUGAUGCUAGAAUAUGAUUAACUUCUAGUUUAAAUUUUUACAUUGAUUUUUGAUUUUUUGAUUUUGUUUUAUUGAUUUUAAGAUGUAGAUACCUUAGGGAUAACAGCGUAAUUUCCUUUGAAAGUUCUUAUUGACAAGGAAGAUUGCGACCUCGAUGUUGGAUUAAGAUUACUAUUAGGUGUAGGUGUUUAAAUAGUAGGUCUGUUCGACCUUUAAAAUCUUACAUGAUCUGAGUCA